This is a long non-coding RNA of Mesocricetus auratus (golden hamster), 1099 nucleotides long. RefSeq lists it as uncharacterized. The record is from RefSeq and is a predicted model, not a curated record. The transcript has 3 exons. Lineage: Eukaryota; Metazoa; Chordata; Mammalia; Rodentia; Cricetidae.
GUGGUCUACAGCAUACAGAAGACUUGUAAAUGAUCAGGCCAGACACAAUUCCAGCAAGCAGAGGGAAGGUGGUGGCUUCACUGUGCAGAUGGAGGUCCUUGUUUAUGAGUGAGGAGUUUCAGGAAGGUCCUGAGGAGACUUGUCCUGUGAGUGUGGUGAACUCAAGAACCAAGUGUCAUUGUCUUCUGUGAACAUGCCUCCUGAUGCCUGCCCAGUUCUGCUGCUCCUCUUGAUGCUCGGAAAGGUCAAUAGAGAUUCAGUAACCCAGAGAGAAGGCCUGGUUACUGUCACAGAGGGUUCACCUGUGACGCUGAACUGCACCUAUCAGACUACUGAUUCAGCUCCUACAAUUUUUUGGUAUGUGCAAUAUCUCAACAAAGCCCCUCAGUUACUUCUGAAGAGCUCCACAGACAACAAGAGGACAGAGGAGCAAGGGCUCCACUCCACUCUCCAUAAGAGCAGCAGCUCCUUCCACCUGCAGAAGUCCUCAGUGCAGCUGUCAGACUCUGCCCUGUACUACUGUUCUCUGAGUGACACAGUGAGGGAGAUGCAGGGAAAGCUGCACACUAACCAAGGUGCAGGAGGCUGAGGGGAGGGGCCCUGUGAGGGAGAGCUGUGUGCCUCUCUCAGUGGGUUUUAUGUAUCAUUCUGAAAAACAGCAACAAAACUCAGGUCAAAUUCUUAGAAACCAAGGAAUCUGUUGAUUUUCUGACAGGAUAGGAUGGAAGUCAUUGCCAGCAACAACACAGCCUGCUUCCACAGUGACACACUUCCUCCAACAUGACCACAUCUACUCCAACAAAGCCACAACUCCUAGUUAUUGCCACUUGCUAUGAGACUAUAUUGGCCAGCUUCACUCAAAUGGACACAAUGGCUAAUAUCUACUUAUAAAUGUGUACAUAUGUUGUUUGUGUUUCUUGGUCUGGGUUACCUCACUCAGGAUUAUCUUUUCUAGUUCCAUCUACACCUUCAGCAGCCAUCAAAUUAUGAUAGAUAUAGUGGAGCCUACACUGCUUAGAGCAGGGUAUACUGUGCAUAACUCCACCUAAGUCAGAAAUUUGACUGGCAUUGUCUCAAGUAAGUUCCAUGUAUGUAACCA